Molecule: ribosomal RNA, 506 nt
Filed under: uncultured bacterium
Lineage: Bacteria
Description: partial 16S ribosomal RNA
Rfam family: Bacterial small subunit ribosomal RNA
Source: RNAcentral
AUUGAACGCUGGCGGCAGGCCUAACACAUGCAAGUCGAACGGCAGCACAGAAGAGCUUGCUCCUUGGGUGGCGAGUGGCGGACGGGUGAGUAAUGUCUGGGAAACUGCCCGAUGGAGGGGGAUAACUACUGGAAACGGUAGCUAAUACCGCAUAACGUCGCGAGACCAAAGUGGGGGACCUUCGGGCCUCACACCAUCGGAUGUGCCCAGAUGGGAUUAGCUAGUAGGUGGGGUAAUGGCUCACCUAGGCGACGAUCCCUAGCUGGUCUGAGAGGAUGACCAGCCAAACUGGAACUGAGACACGGUCCAGACUCCUACGGGAGGCAGCAGUGGGGAAUAUUGCACAAUGGGCGCAAGCCUGAUGCAGCCAUGCCGCGUGUAUGAGGAAGGCCUUCGGGUUGUAAAGUACUUUCAGCGGGGAGGAAGGCGGUGAGGUUAAUAACCUCGCCGAUUGACGUUACCCGCAGAAGAAGCACCGGCUAACUCCGUGCCAGCAGCCGCGGUAA